GACGAACGCUGGCGGCGUGCUUAACACAUGCAAGUCGAACGGAAAGGCCCUGCUUUUGGGGGGUGCUCGAGUGGCGAACGGGUGAGUAACACGUGAGUAACCUGCCCUUGACUUUGGGAUAACUUCAGGAAACGGGGGCUAAUACAGGAUAGGAGCCCCUGCUGCAUGGGGGGGGUUGGAAAGUUUCGGCGGUUGGGGAUGGACUCGCGGCUUAUCAGCUUGUUGGUGGGGUAGUGGCUUACCAAGGCUUUGACGGGUAGCCGGCCUGAGAGGGUGACCGGCCACCUUGGGACUGAGGUACGGCCCAGACUCCUACGGGAGGCAGCGGUGUGGAAUAUUGCACAAUGGGCGGAAGCCUGGUGCAGCAACGCCGCGUGCGGGAUGACGGCCUUCGGGUUGUAAACCGCUUUCGCCUGUGACGAAGCGUGAGUGACGGUAAUGUGUCAAGAAGCACCGGCUAACUACGUG
Molecule: ribosomal RNA, 468 nt
Filed under: uncultured bacterium
Lineage: Bacteria
Description: partial 16S ribosomal RNA
Rfam family: Bacterial small subunit ribosomal RNA
Source: RNAcentral